RNAcentral lists this ribosomal RNA (460 nucleotides) under uncultured bacterium. Its description in RNAcentral is "partial 16S ribosomal RNA". It matches the Rfam family "Bacterial small subunit ribosomal RNA", at positions 338 to 795 of the family's 1533-position model. The record is from RNAcentral.
CCUACGGGGUGCUGCAGUGAGGAAUAUUGGUCAAUGGGCGCGCGCCUGAACCAGCCCAGUAGCGUGAAGGAUGACUGCCCUACGGGUUGUCAACUUCUUUUAUAAAGGAAUACAGUGAGGCACGUGUGCCUUUUUGUAUGUAUUUUAUGAAUAAGGAUCGGCUAACUCCGUGCCAGCAGCAGCUGUAAUACGGAGGGACCGAGCGUUAUACGGAUUUAUUGGGUUUAAAGGGAGCGUAGAUGGGUUGUUAAGUCAGUUGUGAACGUUUGCGGCUCAACCGUAAAAUUGCAUUUGAUACUGGCAGCCUUGAGGACAGUUGAGGUAGGCGGAAUUCGCAGUGUAGCGGUGAAAUGCUUAGAGAUCACGAAGAACUCCGAUUGCGAAGGCAGCCUACUAAACUGCCACUGACAUUGAUGCUCGAAAGUGUGGGUAUCAAACAGGAUUAGAUACCCGAGUAGUC